Long non-coding RNA from Pantherophis guttatus, 249 nucleotides. RefSeq lists it as uncharacterized. The record is from RefSeq and is a predicted model, not a curated record. Lineage: Eukaryota; Metazoa; Chordata; Lepidosauria; Squamata; Colubridae.
GCCCUCUGACAAAGAAAGCGGAAGAGUGGACUAACUGCCCCCAAGAAAGAGACUGAUUGAAUAUUCAGAAAACAGAGAUGGAACCCAAAAUUGCUUGAAAAGAAAACAAACACAUUAAGAGACCCAGUUUCUCUACAGACAAGCCUGGGAAAUGUUUUGUAUUUAUAGUAGCACACAUGAUUGUUACUAAGCAUUUAAUGUUCAUGCUGCCCUGUUGAAAUUUGUACCAAAUAUGAAUAUUAUCAAACA